GCCGGGGUGGCCGAGCGGUCGAAGGCGGCGGGCUGCAGACCCGUUACUAUCCCGGGUUCGAAUCCCGGCCCCGGCUCCA
This 79-nucleotide transfer RNA is filed under the name Desulfurococcales archaeon. Its description in RNAcentral is "tRNA-Cys". It matches the Rfam family "tRNA". From Rfam's summary of the family: Transfer RNA (tRNA) molecules are approximately 80 nucleotides in length. The record is from RNAcentral. Lineage: Archaea; Thermoproteati; Thermoproteota; Thermoprotei; Desulfurococcales.